GUAGACAGGGCUUUUGCUAUGGACUGGAUGGUCAGGAAUUGGGGAGAAUUCAACCUAGCAGAUUUCCUGGAGGAAAGAGAAGAAAAUGGACUGAGUACAGCACAUGGUACUGACCCUUAUUUUAUGAUUCCUUCACUAUAUCCUGGUGCAGUUACUAACAGAAAUGGUGUGAACAGAUUUGAGGAAUUUGGAUUUGACCUUUUGGACACCACUUGAAAUCCCUAGCAAGAGGCAGAUAGCUGUCCACUUGA
This is a long non-coding RNA of Dermochelys coriacea (leatherback sea turtle), 251 nucleotides long. RefSeq lists it as uncharacterized. The record is from RefSeq and is a predicted model, not a curated record. Lineage: Eukaryota; Metazoa; Chordata; Testudines; Dermochelyidae. The transcript is spliced from 3 exons.